This 274-nucleotide ribosomal RNA is filed under the name uncultured bacterium. Its description in RNAcentral is "partial 16S ribosomal RNA". It matches the Rfam family "Bacterial small subunit ribosomal RNA", at positions 523 to 796 of the family's 1533-position model. The record is from RNAcentral.
AUACGGAGGGUGCAAGCGUUAAUCGGAAUUACUGGGCGUAAAGCGCUCGUAGGCGGUUUGUUAAGUCGGAUGUGAAAGCCCCGGGCUCAACCUGGGAACUGCAUUCGAUACUGGCAAACUAGAGUAUAUUAGAGGCAAGUGGAAUUCCGGGUGUAGCGGUGAAAUGCGUAGAUAUCCGGAGGAACAUCAGUGGCGAAGGCGACUUGCUGGACUAAUACUGACGCUGAGGAGCGAAAGCGUGGGGAGCAAACGGAAUUAGAUACCCCAGUAGUCC